AAGGCCCCACAAAAAAAAGGAAAGUUCACAUCUAUCAACAUAAACACAAUAUAUAAAGGAAAGAGCGUUGAGCAGCAGAAGACACCAGUAACACGUCAACAUGGUUUGCAAAGCUUGGGUAAAGUGGGCAGCGUCCGGCGCAUGCCGCCUCCGGCCAAUUUACCAAGUCUGAAAAGUGAGAAUAGUGGGAACGAUCCGAACAUAACAUUAGUUCCAACAGGGGGAGCAGGAUGGGGCAACAAGGAGAAAGAGGAGAAGGGAGGCAGUGGCAGUCCGCAGCCAUCGUCGCAGCAGCAGCAGGUUACUACAGCGCAAUCUCUGGGGCAAACAAGCAAG
This is a long non-coding RNA of Ruditapes philippinarum (Manila clam), 336 nucleotides long. RefSeq lists it as uncharacterized. Lineage: Eukaryota; Metazoa; Mollusca; Bivalvia; Venerida; Veneridae. The record is from RefSeq and is a predicted model, not a curated record. The transcript is spliced from 3 exons.